UCUUCUAAGCCCUAAUUCCACAUUUUCUUUUCUUCUCCCUUUCCCCACAUAACCAUAUAUUAUAUUUCCAUUCUCUAAAAUUCAAUAACUUUAUUACAUACUCAAUCACAUACCAAUGCUUAUAUAUUUAAUAUGUAUAUAUAUAUAUAUAUAUAUAUUAGCUUUGAAGAUCAAAUCGAAGAAAUAAAGAAGGAAAAUAUGGCCAAAUUGUUAGCCUUCACCUGCAUUUGCACCUACACCUUCAUCUUUGAUUUUUCUCUAACAAGGCCAUUGAGGUGCAGGUGCUUCUGCAAGUGAAUGCCAUCUUGGCUUUCCCUCCUCCUCCACUGCCACCGCCAUCGUCUCCGCUUUUUUCCUCCUCCUCCUUUUAAAGGGAAGGAAGCAAAUUCUACUACUUCACUUCACCAUCAUAAUUCAUGUGUGGUGUAAUUUGUUUGUUUAAUUUGUUGGAUUUCUUGGUUGAUCAUUCUAGAUUGACUAUUUCUCUAGUAUAUAGUUGUUUUUUUAGGUAAGAUAUACCUCUCAAUUUAUCUCUUAUGUAUCCAAAAAGUUUAUUGAGAUUAAAACCUUACCUUUUAGAAUUGAUACGUUUUGUUGCAAUGUCAAAACACUUGUUCUUCUUAAGAGUAUAAUAUGAAAAAACGAAAAUGAAUUUAGGUUUGUAACAGAACGUUUGUCUCUUAAAUCACAAAUUAAAUAAAAACUGCCCAAAAGAUGAGUUCUCUUAAA
This is a long non-coding RNA of Cucumis sativus (cucumber), 729 nucleotides long. RefSeq lists it as uncharacterized. Lineage: Eukaryota; Viridiplantae; Streptophyta; Magnoliopsida; Cucurbitales; Cucurbitaceae. The transcript has 2 exons. The record is from RefSeq and is a predicted model, not a curated record.